RNAcentral lists this ribosomal RNA (433 nucleotides) under uncultured bacterium. Its description in RNAcentral is "partial 16S ribosomal RNA". It matches the Rfam family "Bacterial small subunit ribosomal RNA", at positions 29 to 507 of the family's 1533-position model. The record is from RNAcentral.
AACGAACGCUGGCGGCAUGCCUAACACAUGCAAGUCGAACGAUCCCUUCGGGGAUAGUGGCGCACGGGUGCGUAACGCGUGGGAACCUGCCCUUAGGUUCGGAAUAACUCAGAGAAAUUUGAGCUAACACCGGAUAAUGUCUUCGGACCAAAGAUUUAUCGCCUUUGGAUGGGCCCGCGUUGGAUUAGCUAGUUGGUGGGGUAAAGGCCUACCAAGGCGACGAUCCAUAGCUGGUCUGAGAGGAUGAUCAGCCACACUGGGACUGAGACACGGCCCAGACUCCUACGGGAGGCAGCAGUGGGGAAUAUUGGACAAUGGGCGAAAGCCUGAUCCAGCAAUGCCGCGUGAGUGAUGAAGGCCUUAGGGUUGUAAAGCUCUUUUACCCGGGAUGAUAAUGACAGUACCGGGAGAAUAAGCCCCGGCUAACUCCGUG